UUUUUUUUGUUUUUUUCUGUCCACCCUGGCCAUCGGACCUUACUCCUUUUCUAUGUUAACUAAUGUUGCCUUAUUUUAAUUUCUUAUUUUGUCUUUUAUUUUUCUUUUCUUCAUUACGUAAAGCACUUUGAGCUACUUUUUGUAUGAAAAUGUGCUAUAUAAAUAAAUGUUGUUUAGUGCAUGUACUUCUUUUCUGUAAGCAGUGUUGGGUUAAUUGACUCAGAAUUCCACUGUCGCCCACUGGUAGAGAUCAAGCCAUGUCAUUUUGUAUUGUGCCUUUCCAUAAUGAACCUUAUGCUAAUACUUUUUAUGUAAUACGUGUGCUUCUUCUCUGUGAGCACUUCCAGGUUAAAUGACUCCUCCUUAAAUCAGUGGUAGGGAGUGAACCGUGUCAUAUUAUAGAGUGCCAUUCCAUAAGAAACCCUUGUUUAAUAAUCCUUAGAGGUGUAAUAAAGACUUUCUUUUCUUUAAGCACUGUCGGGUUACAUGACGCUACCAAUCAGUGGUGAGAAUCACAUAUUGUCAUUAUAUAUGCACCUUUCCAUAAUGAUAUCACUCUGGUAUUCCUUGCAUGUGUAGUGCAGUUACUUGUUCUCCACAGGCAGUUUUUGGUGACUCGUUCAGAAUUCCACUCUUCCUCAAUGGUAUUAAAUUGUGUCAUUUUAUAUAGUGCCUUUCUAUAAUGACUUCAAUUCUGUUGCUCAGUUCAUCUAUAUUCCAAUCCCACUCAUCUAAAGCAGGUUUAUGGGGAAGCAGAAGCCUAUCCCAGCAAGCACUGGGCACAGGGCAGGAACAACGCCUGGAUGGUACCACUCCUUUAUAGGUUUCUAUUAUUCCACAGUGGUAUAAUGCAGUUACUUCCUUCAUGGAUGUGCUGUUGGUUUAAGUGAAUCAGUCAGAAUCACAAUGUCAUUUGGCAGUAGGGACUGAACUGUUAUUUUGUAGAAUGCCUUUCCAUAAUAAACUGCAAACUAAUAAUCUUUAGCUGUUUACCACAGUUUCAUCUUCACAAGAAUACUCCCAGGUUAAAUAACUCCCUUUAAUUAAUGGUAGGGAAUGAAGUAUGCCGUUUUCUGUAGUGCCUUUCUAUUCCAAACUCCACCAUACGAUUCCAUAAGAUGCAACACAGUCAAAUCUUCACUAUUAGCACUGUCGGGUUAGGUGAUUCCCCAGUUGGUGGUAGGAAUCAAACAUUGUCAUAUUAUAUAGUGCCUUUCCAUAAUGAGCUCUGCUAUUAUUCUUUACAGAUGUAUUUCAGGUGCUUCUUCCUUAAGCACUGGUGAGUUAGCCGAUUCAUUCCGAAUUCCACCUCUGUUCCUGGUAGCAGUCAAACUGUCUCAUUUAAUAUAGUGCCUUUCCAUACCGAACUCCACCAUAGUAGUCCAUAGGGUAUACAGUUGUAUCUUCCAUUAUUUGCCCUGUUGAGUAUAGUGACUCUUCCAGUCAUUGGUAGGAAUCAAACCAUCAUAUUAUAAAGCACCUUUCCUUAAUGAGAUGUACUGUGUUAUUCCUUGCUGAUGGUUUUGUCAACUUAUUCAGAAUUCCAUUGUCAGUUGGUGGUAGGGAUCAAACCAUGUCAUUUUAUAUAGCGCCUUUCCAUAAUGAGCUCCAGUCUUGUUGUUCCUUACAUGUGCAGUGCAGUUUUGUUUUCACCACAGUCACUGUGGGGUUAAGUGACUUACUCUGAAUUUUGCUCUCAGAGGUAGGGUUUAAAUUGUGUUAUUUUAUAUUUUGUGCCUUUCCAUAAUGAACUCCACCCUGUAAUUUCCUACAUGCAAAGUGAAGUUCUUUCUUCUCUGUAAGCACUGUUGAGCUAGCGGACUUAUUUAGAAUUCUGCUCUCGGUUAUUGGUCAUAUAAUUUCUAUAUAGUGCCUUCCCAUAAUGAACUCUGUCCUAAUACUCUUUACAGAUGUAACAGUUACUACUUUAUAAACUAACUUGCUCAGGCACACACAGAGCUGAUUGAUGUGCAGUGACCCAGGUCUCUUGUGCUGUCUCAGUUCAGUGAUUUAGCCACUGGGCGACACUGGUAGAGACAUUCCUACUGGUUUUUCAAACCUAAAACACUAACAUAAAAUCCCUUCUCAGAAGAAAGUCCAGAUCAAGUUAAAAGGUGUACAGUUUUAUUUUUAAUAGAACAUUAAUUCCUUUUAAAAAACAUUCAACUGGGCUUUUGGAACCCAUAGAAAAAACACCAAUCUUGUGUUUAAUUUUUUAGGUUUUUUUUUUUCUAAUUUUGGCAUUUGUUUUGCAUUUAUAUUAAGCAAAGUGCAUCUUUUUUCUUUAUCGUUAACACAUUGCACAAUACAUAAAUAACAAUGCUUAUAAAAC
This is a long non-coding RNA of Erpetoichthys calabaricus (reedfish), 2332 nucleotides long. RefSeq lists it as uncharacterized. Lineage: Eukaryota; Metazoa; Chordata; Cladistia; Polypteriformes; Polypteridae. The transcript is spliced from 3 exons. The record is from RefSeq and is a predicted model, not a curated record.